Bubalus bubalis (water buffalo) is the source of this 408-nucleotide long non-coding RNA. RefSeq lists it as uncharacterized. The record is from RefSeq and is a predicted model, not a curated record. The transcript is spliced from 3 exons. NCBI's taxonomy places the organism in Eukaryota, Metazoa, Chordata, Mammalia, Artiodactyla, Bovidae.
GGCCGGGGUGGGCCUGGCAGAGGAAGAGCGGUGUUGGAAGCUGCUGUAGUGCGUCCCCGGGGUGAGCGGGCACCAGGUGACGUAGGAUCUGCUGGAGAUGUAGCACCCUUGGCUGUAAGACCUAGACGUGGAGAGGUGGUGCUCACACUCAGAGUGCCUUUCCAGUCACCCCUGGAGGCAGACAUGGCUCGCAGAUCUCUGCUCCCAGAUGUCCAACGCCACCAAGGAUUGAUUCGGAAGGAAUUUGCAGUGAAUGGCAGUGACCUGCUUGUUAGAUGGACUGCUGACGACCUGGCUUUCAUCCGACUGUCCGUGAACCAGUUCCUCGAUCAGCUUUCCGUGGUGAUUCGGAACAUUCGGCGCCUUGGGCACCCACCUCGCCAAAGCCGAAGCUGAGGAAAGGGGCUG